UCGUACCACGGAGGCGCGAGGGCUGUCGCUGACCUUUUCGAAGGUCGUGCACGUCCGAGCCCUCUCACAAUCCAUCUCACCCUUUGUGCAUCGCCGCGUGGGUCCCCCUUUUCGGGAGGGCUCGCGUUUUCACAUAAAACUGGAUACUGUAUAGAAUGUUUUCUUUUUUGUUUGCGGUCACACGCAAUCAAUA
This 193-nucleotide unclassified non-coding RNA is filed under the name uncultured Russula. RNAcentral's name for it is "sequence contains ITS1". Lineage: Eukaryota; Fungi; Basidiomycota; Agaricomycetes; Russulales; Russulaceae. The record is from RNAcentral.